Molecule: ribosomal RNA, 253 nt
Filed under: uncultured bacterium
Lineage: Bacteria
Description: partial 16S ribosomal RNA
Rfam family: Bacterial small subunit ribosomal RNA
Source: RNAcentral
UACGUAGGGGGCUAGCGUUGUCCGGAAUCAUUGGGCGUAAAGAGCGUGUAGGCGGCUUGUUAAGUCUUGCGUGAAAUCUCGGGGCUCAACCCCGAGCGGUCGUGAGAAACUGGCAGGCUAGAGUGCGGGAGAGGAGAGUGGAAUUCCUGGUGUAGCGGUGAAAUGCGCAGAUAUCAGGAAGAACACCCGUGGCGAAGGCGGCUCUCUGGAACGCAACUGACGCUGAGACGCGAAAGCGUGGGGAGCAAACAGG